UACGUAGGGGGCCAGCGUUGUCCGGAUUCAUUGGGCGUAAAGCGCGUGUAGGCGGCUGGGUAGGUCUGACGUGAAAACUCGAGGCUCAACCUCGAGACGUCGUCGGAAACCACCCGGCUAGAGUCCGGAAGAGGAGAGUGGAAUUCCCGGUGUAGCGGUGAAAUGCGCAGAUAUCGGGAAGAACACCCAUGGCGAAGGCAGCUCUCUGGGACGGUACUGACGCUGAGACGCGAAAGCGUGGGGAGCGAACAGGAUUAGAUACCCUGGUAGUCCACGCCGUAAACGAUGGGCGCUAGGUGUGGGCGGUGUCGACUCCGUCCGUGCCGAAGCUAACGCAUUAAGCGCCCCGCCUGGGGAGUACGACCGCAAGGUUAAA
RNAcentral lists this ribosomal RNA (376 nucleotides) under uncultured bacterium. Its description in RNAcentral is "bacterial SSU rRNA". It matches the Rfam family "Bacterial small subunit ribosomal RNA", at positions 524 to 898 of the family's 1533-position model. The record is from RNAcentral.